UUAAGUUAGAAAGGGCGCACGGUGGAUGCCUUGACACUAGGAGUCGAUGAAGGACGGGACUAACGCCGAUAUGCUUCGGGGAGCUGUAAGUAAGCUUUGAUCCGAAGAUUUCCGAAUGGGGAAACCCACCAUACGUAAUGGUAUGGUAUCCUUAUCUGAAUACAUAGGGUAAGGAAGACAGACCCAGGGAACUGAAACAUCUAAGUACCUGGAGGAAGAGAAAGCAAAUGCGAUUUCCUGAGUAGCGGCGAGCGAAACGGAACAUAGCCCAAACCAAGAGGCUUGCCUCUUGGGGUUGUAGGACAUUCUAUACGGAGUUACAAAGGAACGAGGUAGACGAAGCGACCUGGAAAGGUCCGUCGUAGAGGGUAACAACCCCGUAGUCGAAACUUCGUUCUCUCUUGAAUGUAUCCUGAGUACGGCGGAACACGUGAAAUUCCGUCGGAAUCUGGGAGGACCAUCUCCCAAGGCUAAAUACUCCCUAGUGAUCGAUAGUGAACCAGUACCGUGAGGGAAAGGUGAAAAGCACCCCGGAAGGGGAGUGAAAGAGAUCCUGAAACCGUGUGCCUACAAAUAGUCAGAGCCCGUUAACGGGUGAUGGCGUGCCUUUUGUAGAAUGAACCGGCGAGUUACGAUCCCGUGCGAGGUUAAGCUGAAGAGGCGGAGCCGCAGCGAAAGCGAGUCUGAAUAGGGCGUUUAGUACGUGGUCGUAGACCCGAAACCAGGUGAUCUACCCAUGUCCAGGGUGAAGUUCAGGUAACACUGAAUGGAGGCCCGAACCCACGCACGUUGAAAAGUGCGGGGAUGAGGUGUGGGUAGCGGAGAAAUUCCAAUCGAACCUGGAGAUAGCUGGUUCUCCCCGAAAUAGCUUUAGGGCUAGCCUUAAGUGUAAGAGUCUUGGAGGUAGAGCACUGAUUGGACUAGGGGUCCUCAUCGGAUUACCGAAUUCAGUCAAACUCCGAAUGCCAAUGACUUAUCCUUAGGAGUCAGACUGCGAGUGAUAAGAUCCGUAGUCAAAAGGGAAACAGCCCAGACCGCCAGCUAAGGUCCCAAAGUGUGUAUUAAGUGGAAAAGGAUGUGGAGUUGCUUAGACAACUAGGAUGUUGGCUUAGAAGCAGCCACCAUUUAAAGAGUGCGUAAUAGCUCACUAGUCGAGUGACUCUGCGCCGAAAAUGUACCGGGGCUAAAUACACCACCGAAGCUGCGGAUUGAUACCAAUGGUAUCAGUGGUAGGGGAGCGUUCUAAGGACAGUGAAGUCAGACCGGAAGGACUGGUGGAGUGCUUAGAAGUGAGAAUGCCGGUAUGAGUAGCGAAAGACGGGUGAGAAUCCCGUCCACCGAAUGCCUAAGGUUUCCUGAGGAAGGCUCGUCCGCUCAGGGUUAGUCAGGACCUAAGCCGAGGCCGACAGGCGUAGGCGAUGGACAACAGGUUGAUAUUCCUGUACCACCUCUUUAUCGUUUGAGCAAUGGAGGGACGCAGAAGGAUAGAAGAAGCGUGCGAUUGGUUGUGCACGUCCAAGCAGUUAGGCUGAUAAGUAGGCAAAUCCGCUUAUCGUAAAGGCUGAGCUGUGAUGGGGAAGCUCCUUAUGGAGCGAAGUCUUUGAUUCCCCGCUGCCAAGAAAAGCUUCUAGCGAGAUAAAAGGUGCCUGUACCGCAAACCGACACAGGUAGGCGAGGAGAGAAUCCUAAGGUGUGCGAGAGAACUCUGGUUAAGGAACUCGGCAAAAUGACCCCGUAACUUCGGGAGAAGGGGUGCUUUCUUAACGGAAAGCCGCAGUGAAUAGGCCCAAGCGACUGUUUAGCAAAAACACAGCUCUCUGCGAAGCCGUAAGGCGAAGUAUAGGGGGUGACACCUGCCCGGUGCUGGAAGGUUAAGGAGAGGGGUUAGCGUAAGCGAAGCUCUGAACUGAAGCCCCAGUAAACGGCGGCCGUAACUAUAACGGUCCUAAGGUAGCGAAAUUCCUUGUCGGGUAAGUUCCGACCCGCACGAAAGGUGUAACGAUUUGGGCACUGUCUCAACCAGAGACUCGGUGAAAUUAUAGUACCUGUGAAGAUGCAGGUUACCCGCGACAGGACGGAAAGACCCCGUGGAGCUUUACUGUAGCCUGAUAUUGAAUUUUGGUACAGUUUGUACAGGAUAGGCGGGAGCCAUUGAAACCGGAGCGCUAGCUUCGGUGGAGGCGCUGGUGGGAUACCGCCCUGACUGUAUUGAAAUUCUAACCUACGGGUCUUAUCGACCCGGGAGACAGUGUCAGGUGGGCAGUUUGACUGGGGCGGUCGCCUCCUAAAGUGUAACGGAGGCGCCCAAAGGUUCCCUCAGAAUGGUUGGAAAUCAUUCGUAGAGUGCAAAGGCAUAAGGGAGCUUGACUGCGAGACCUACAAGUCGAGCAGGGACGAAAGUCGGGCUUAGUGAUCCGGUGGUUCCGCAUGGAAGGGCCAUCGCUCAACGGAUAAAAGCUACCCCGGGGAUAACAGGCUUAUCUCCCCCAAGAGUCCACAUCGACGGGGAGGUUUGGCACCUCGAUGUCGGCUCAUCGCAUCCUGGGGCUGUAGUCGGUCCCAAGGGUUGGGCUGUUCGCCCAUUAAAGCGGUACGCGAGCUGGGUUCAGAACGUCGUGAGACAGUUCGGUCCCUAUCCGUCGUGGGCGUAGGAAAUUUGAGAGGAGCUGUCCUUAGUACGAGAGGACCGGGAUGGACGCACCGCUGGUGUACCAGUUGUUCUGCCAAGGGCAUAGCUGGGUAGCUAUGUGCGGAAGGGAUAAGUGCUGAAAGCAUCUAAGCAUGAAGCCCCCUCAAGAUGAGAUUUCCCAUAGCGUAAGCUAGUAAGAUCCCUGAAAGAUGAUCAGGUUGAUAGGUUCGAGGUGGAAGCAUGGUGACAUGUGGAGCUGACGAAUACUAAUAGAUCGAGGACUUAACCAU
This 2919-nucleotide ribosomal RNA is filed under the name Bacillus cereus. Its description in RNAcentral is "bacterial LSU rRNA". It matches the Rfam family "Bacterial large subunit ribosomal RNA". Lineage: Bacteria; Bacillati; Bacillota; Bacilli; Caryophanales; Bacillaceae. The record is from RNAcentral.